This 469-nucleotide ribosomal RNA is filed under the name uncultured bacterium. Its description in RNAcentral is "bacterial SSU rRNA". It matches the Rfam family "Bacterial small subunit ribosomal RNA", at positions 269 to 755 of the family's 1533-position model. The record is from RNAcentral.
CAAGGCGACGAUGCGUAACCGACCUGAGAGGGUGAACGGCCACAUUGGAACUGAGACACGGUCCAGACUCCUACGGGAGGCAGCAGUGGGGAAUAUUGCGCAAUGGGGGAAACCCUGACGCAGCAACGCCGCGUGAAUGAUGAAGGCCUUCGGGUUGUAAAGUUCUGUCUUCUGGGACGAUAAUGACGGUACUAGAGGAGGAAGCCACGGCUAACUACGUGCCAGCAGCCGCGGUAAUACGUAGGUGGCAAGCGUUGUCUGGAUUUACUGGGCGUAAAGGAUGCGUAGGCGGACAUUUAAGUCAGAUGUGAAAUACUCGAGCUUAACUUGGGUGCUGCAUUUGAAACUGGGUGUCUAGAGUGCAUGAGAGGUAAGUGGAAUUCCUAGUGUAGCAGUGAAAUGCGUACAGAUUAGGAAGAACACCACUGGCGAAGGCGACUUACUGGACUGUAACUGACGCUGAGGCAUG